UGGGGAAUAUUGCACAAUGGGCGCAAGCCUGAUGCAGCCAUGCCGCGUGUGUGAAGAAGGCCUUCGGGUUGUAAAGCACUUUCAGCGGGGAGGAAGGCGUUAAGGUUAAUAACCUUGGCGAUUGACGUUACCCGCAGAAGAAGCACCGGCUAACUCCGUGCCAGCAGCCGCGGUAAUACGGAGGGUGCAAGCGUUAAUCGGAAUUACUGGGCGUAGAGCGCACGCAGGCGGUCUGUCAAGUCGGAUGUGAAAUCCCCGGGCUCAACCUGGGAACUGCAUUCGAAACUGGCAGGCUAGAGUCUUGUAGAGGGGGGUAGAAUUCCAGGUGUAGCGGUGAAAUGCGUAGAGAUCUGGAGGAAUACCGGUGGCGAAGGCGGCCCCCUGGACAAAGACUGACGCUCAGGUGCGAAAGCGUGGGGAGCAAACAGG
This 429-nucleotide ribosomal RNA is filed under the name Chloroflexota bacterium. Its description in RNAcentral is "Chloroflexi bacterium partial 16S ribosomal RNA". It matches the Rfam family "Bacterial small subunit ribosomal RNA", at positions 355 to 776 of the family's 1533-position model. The record is from RNAcentral. Lineage: Bacteria; Bacillati; Chloroflexota.